RNAcentral lists this ribosomal RNA (507 nucleotides) under uncultured bacterium. Its description in RNAcentral is "bacterial SSU rRNA". It matches the Rfam family "Bacterial small subunit ribosomal RNA", at positions 28 to 490 of the family's 1533-position model. The record is from RNAcentral.
GAUGAACGCUGGCGGCGUGCCUAAUACAUGCAAGUCGAACGCAUUGUGGUUGAAAUGAUAUGAAGAACUUGUUCAGAUUUGAUUUUAAACAUUGCAAUGAGUGGCGAACGGGUGAGUAACACGUGGGAAACCUACCUCUUAGCAGGGGAUAACAUUUGGAAACAAAUGCUAAUACCGUAUAAUAAUUAAAACCGCAUGGUUUUAGUUUAAAAGAUGGUCUUGCUAUCACUAAGAGAUGGUCCCGCGGUGUAUUAGUUAGUUGGUGAGGUAAUGGCUCACCAAGACAAUGAUACAUAGCCGAGUUGAGAGACUGACCGGCCACAAUGGGACUGAGACACGGCCCAUACUCCUACGGGAGGCAGCAGUAGGGAAUCUUCCACAAUGGACGAAAGUCUGAUGGAGCAACGCCGCGUGUGUGAUGAAGGGUUUCGGCUCGUAAAACACUGUUGUAAGAGAAGAAUGACAUUGAGGUAACUGUUCAAUGUGUGACGGUAUCUUACCUAGAAA